RNAcentral lists this ribosomal RNA (1466 nucleotides) under uncultured bacterium. RNAcentral's name for it is "bacterial SSU rRNA". It matches the Rfam family "Bacterial small subunit ribosomal RNA". The record is from RNAcentral.
AUUGAACGCUGGCGGCAGGCCUAACACAUGCAAGUCGAACGGUAACAGGAAGAAGCUUGCUUCUUUGCUGACGAGUGGCGGACGGGUGAGUAAUGUCUGGGAAACUGCCUGAUGGAGGGGGAUAACUACUGGAAACGGUAGCUAAUACCGCAUAACGUCGCAAGACCAAAGAGGGGGACCUUCGGGCCUCUUGCCAUCGGAUGUGCCCAGAUGGGAUUAGCUAGUAGGUGGGGUAACGGCUCACCUAGGCGACGAUCCCUAGCUGGUCUGAGAGGAUGACCAGCCACACUGGAACUGAGACACGGUCCAGACUCCUACGGGAGGCAGCAGUGGGGAAUAUUGCACAAUGGGCGCAAGCCUGAUGCAGCCAUGCCGCGUGUAUGAAGAAGGCCUUCGGGUUGUAAAGUACUUUCAGCGGGGAGGAAGGGAGUAAAGUUAAUACCUUUGCUCAUUGACGUUACCCGCAGAAGAAGCACCGGCUAACUCCGUGCCAGCAGCCGCGGUAAUACGGAGGGUGCAAGCGUUAAUCGGAAUUACUGGGCGUAAAGCGCACGCAGGCGGUUUGUUAAGUCAGAUGUGAAAUCCCCGGGCUCAACCUGGGAACUGCAUCUGAUACUGGCAAGCUUGAGUCUCGUAGAGGGGGGUAGAAUUCCAGGUGUAGCGGUGAAAUGCGUAGAGAUCUGGAGGAAUACCGGUGGCGAAGGCGGCCCCCUGGACGAAGACUGACGCUCAGGUGCGAAAGCGUGGGGAGCAAACAGGAUUAGAUACCCUGGUAGUCCACGCCGUAAACGAUGUCGACUUGGAGGUUGUGCCCUUGAGGCGUGGCUUCCGGAGCUAACGCGUUAAGUCGACCGCCUGGGAGUACGGCCGCAAGGUAAAACUCAAAUGAAUUGACGGGGGCCCGCACAAGCGGUGGAGCAUGUGGUUUAAUUCGAUGCAACGCGAAGAACCUUACCUGGUCUUGACAUCCACGGAAGUUUUCAGAGAUGAGAAUGUGCCUUCGGGAACCGUGAGACAGGUGCUGCAUGGCUGUCGUCAGCUCGUGUUGUGAAAUGUUGGGUUAAGUCCCGCAACGAGCGCAACCCUUAUCCUUUGUUGCCAGCGGUCCGGCCGGGAACUCAAAGGAGACUGCCAGUGAUAAACUGGAGGAAGGUGGGGAUGACGUCAAGUCAUCAUGGCCCUUACGACCAGGGCUACACACGUGCUACAAUGGCGCAUACAAAGAGAAGCGACCUCGCGAGAGCAAGCGGACCUCAUAAAGUGCGUCGUAGUCCGGAUUGGAGUCUGCAACUCGACUCCAUGAAGUCGGAAUCGCUAGUAAUCGUGGAUCAGUAUGCCACGGUGAAUACGUUCCCGGGCCUUGUACACACCGCCCGUCACACCAUGGGAGUGGGUUGCAAAAGAAGUAGGUAGCUUAACCUUCGGGAGGGCGCUUACCACUUUGUGAUUCAUGACUGGGGUGAAGU